This 402-nucleotide ribosomal RNA is filed under the name uncultured bacterium. RNAcentral's name for it is "partial 16S ribosomal RNA". It matches the Rfam family "Bacterial small subunit ribosomal RNA", at positions 355 to 774 of the family's 1533-position model. The record is from RNAcentral.
UGGGGAAUAUUGGACAAUGGGCGAAAGCCUGAUCCAGCAAUACCGAGUGAGUGAUGAAGGCCUUAGGGUUGUAAAGCUCUUUUAGCAAGGAAGAUAAUGACGUUACUUGCAGAAAAAGCCCCGGCUAACUCCGUGCCAGCAGCCGCGGUAAGACGGAGGGGGCUAGCGUUGUUCGGAAUUACUGGGCGUAAAGAGUGCGUAGGCGGUUUAGUAAGUUGGAAGUGAAAGCCCGGGGCUUAACCUCGGAAUUGCUUUCAAAACUACUAAUCUAGAGUGUAGUAGGGGAUGAUGGAAUUCCUAGUGUAGAGGUGAAAUUCUUAGAUAUUAGGAGGAACACCGGUGGCGAAGGCGGUCAUCUGGGCUACAACUGACGCUGAUGCACGAAAGCGUGGGGAGCAAACA